GUACAGGUAUUGUGAUACAGUCUACAGUCCACUAGUACAGGUAUUGUGAUACAGUCUACAGUCCACUAGUACAGGUAUUGUGAUACAGUCUACAGUCCACUAGUACAGGUAUUGUGAUACAGUCCACUAGUACAGGUAUUGUGAUACAGUCUACAGUCCACUAGUACAGGUAUUGUGAUACAGUCUAC
This is a long non-coding RNA of Salvelinus fontinalis (brook trout), 188 nucleotides long. RefSeq lists it as uncharacterized. Lineage: Eukaryota; Metazoa; Chordata; Actinopteri; Salmoniformes; Salmonidae. The record is from RefSeq and is a predicted model, not a curated record. The transcript is spliced from 3 exons.